Molecule: long non-coding RNA, 843 nt
Filed under: Salmo salar (Atlantic salmon)
Lineage: Eukaryota; Metazoa; Chordata; Actinopteri; Salmoniformes; Salmonidae
Description: lncRNA (ENSSSAG00000089642.1)
Source: RNAcentral
AUUGCGUUUGUACCAGUACAGUCCGCCCAGGUGGAGAAUACUCCUUCCUUGCUAAGAAAACUAUACCCUUGCUGGAUGAGGCCGCAUUUCAAACUGAGCUGAUUGAAUUCCAGACAUCGAGCCAAAUCAGGGAUACACUCAGGAGUGCCGAGUCCCUGUGUCCGUUGUGCGUGGCAUGCUCAGAGGAAUAGAGCACAAUAAAGAAACUUGCAUUUUAUGUGCUAACAAUAUUUGGAUCGACUUACACCUGCGAGUCCUCAUUUUCCUCUCUGAACGCAAUAUAGAUUCACGACAGGAACCGGCUUUCACAUAAGUUAAUCGAGGACUGACUGCACAUCAAAAUCACAUCCAUCCAUAAACCCGACAUCCACAAGAUUGUAUCUGAGGGUUUUCUCCAUCUGUUGGUUUUUGGACAAGGACAUCCCGGUCACGGACAGUGCUAUUCGCAAACACUAUCAUCAGGUGCCUGUGUUACGCCGAACGCAAAACCCCCGUGAAAAUGAACAGCGAGACUAUUCAAGCCAUCGACUCACUGAUGAAUGAAGAUGAUGAGCGAUCGGCAAAGGCCAUCUGUAAUCUGCUGGCAUCACGGCACAUCAACAUCGCUGUAAUCACAGUCAGAAGAUACUGUAUUCAAAUUGCAGGGGGCAAAGACACCAGAUGAGGCUGCUAUGGUGGUGUGACCAGGGGAGACGGAGAAGGCAGUUGGUCCAGAGGAGGCUGCGUUGGUGGUGAUAGACGGGGGGUGGUGUGCAUCGUGGAGGUGGUGGACGAAACCGUCGACGAUGGCUUGGAGGAGCUGGUGUUUGUAAUGGCCCAGGCAUGGAUCAAAGCUGGCGAGAC